RNAcentral lists this ribosomal RNA (278 nucleotides) under Enterococcus faecium. RNAcentral's name for it is "partial 16S ribosomal RNA". It matches the Rfam family "Bacterial small subunit ribosomal RNA", at positions 1 to 273 of the family's 1533-position model. The record is from RNAcentral. Lineage: Bacteria; Bacillati; Bacillota; Bacilli; Lactobacillales; Enterococcaceae.
ACUUAAAUUGAAGAGUUUGAUCAUGGCUCAGAUUGAACGCUGGCGGCAGGCCUAACACAUGCAAGUCGAGCGGUAGCACAGAGAGCUUGCUCUCGGGUGACGAGCGGCGGACGGGUGAGUAAUGUCUGGGAAACUGCCUGAUGGAGGGGGAUAACUACUGGAAACGGUAGCUAAUACCGCAUAACGUCGCAAGACCAAAGUGGGGGACCUUCGGGCCUCAUGCCAUCAGAUGUGCCCAGAUGGGAGUAGCUAGUAGGUGGGGUAAUGGCUCACCUAGG